This 915-nucleotide ribosomal RNA is filed under the name Clostridioides difficile. RNAcentral's name for it is "bacterial LSU rRNA". It matches the Rfam family "Bacterial large subunit ribosomal RNA", at positions 768 to 1689 of the family's 2925-position model. Lineage: Bacteria; Bacillati; Bacillota; Clostridia; Peptostreptococcales; Peptostreptococcaceae. The record is from RNAcentral.
GGAGGUCCGAACCCACGAGCGUUGAAAAGCUCGGGGAUGACUUGUGGGUAGCGGUGAAAUUCCAAUCGAGCCCGGAGAUAGCUGGUUCUCCCCGAAAUAGCUUUAGGGCUAGCCUCAAGGUGAGAGAUACGGAGGUAGAGCACUGAAUGUCCUAGGGGGUAUUGCACCUACCGAAGACUAUCAAACUCCGAAUGCCGUCAUCUUAUACUUGGGAGUCAGACUGUGGGUGAUAAGAUUCAUAGUCGAAAGGGCAACAGCCCAGAUCGUCAGCUAAGGUCCCUAAAUGUAAGUUAAGUGGUAAAGGAUGUGGGAUUGCACAGACAACCAGGAUGUUGGCUUAGAAGCAGCCACUCAUUCAAAGAGUGCGUAAUAGCUCACUGGUCGAGUGAUCCUGCGCCGAAGAUUUCCGGGGCUAAAACUUACUACCGAAGCUACGGCAUCAGUAAUGAUGGGUAGGGGAGCUUCCCAUACGGGUUGAAGCAUGACCGUAAGGACAUGUGGACAGUAUGGGAGUGAGAAUGUUGGCAUGAGUAGCGAGAUGUGGGUGAGAAUCCCACAGGCCGUAAACCCAAGGUGUCCAGGGGAAGGUUCGUCCGCCCUGGGUUAGUCGGGACCUAAGCUGAGGCCGAAAGGCGUAGGUGAUGGACAACAGGUUGAUAUUCCUGUACUACCGAUAACCGUUUGAGAGAAGGGAUGACACAGUAGGAUAAGCUAAGCACACUGUUGGUUAUGUGUGCCCAAGCAUUGAGGCAGUCAAAGUAGGCAAAUCCGCUUUGAUAAUGCUGGGAUGUGAUGGGGAGCGAAAUUUAGUAGCGAAGUAGCUGAUUUCACACUGUCAAGAAAAGUCUCUAUCGAGGUUAAAGGUACCCGUACCGCAAACCGACACAGGUGGGUGAGGAGAGUAUACUCUGGCGC